CCUACGGGAGGCAGCAGUGGGGAAUUUUGGACAAUGGACGCAAGUCUGAUCCAGCCAUGCCGCGUGCGGGAAGAAGGCCUUCGGGUUGUAAACCGCUUUUGUCAGGGAAGAAACGAUCCGCUCUAAUACAGUGGGUUAAUGACGGUACCUGAAGAAUAAGCACCGGCUAACUACGUGCCAGCAGCCGCGGUAAUACGUAGGGUGCAAGCGUUAAUCGGAAUUACUGGGCGUAAAGCGUGCGCAGGCGGUUAUGCAAGACAGAUGUGAAAUCCCCGGGCUCAACCUGGGAACUGCAUUUGUGACUGCAUGGCUAGAGUACGGUAGAGGGGGAUGGAAUUCCGCGUGUAGCAGUGAAAUGCGUAGAUAUGCGGAGGAACACCGAUGGCGAAGGCAAUCCCCUGGACCUGUACUGACGCUCAUGCACGAAAGCGUGGGGGAGACAAACGAGGUAUUAGACUACCCGUAGGUACGUCCGACGACCCUAAACGAUGUACAACGUGGUUGUUGGGUAGGGUUUCUUCUCAGUAACGUAGCUAACGCGUAGAAGUUGACCGCCGUGGGGAGUACGGCCGCGAAGGUUGAACUCGAAAGGAGUUGGACGCGNGAGAGAGACGACGACGACGACGAGGGAGGAGG
This 636-nucleotide ribosomal RNA is filed under the name uncultured bacterium. Its description in RNAcentral is "bacterial SSU rRNA". It matches the Rfam family "Bacterial small subunit ribosomal RNA", at positions 338 to 951 of the family's 1533-position model. The record is from RNAcentral.